UACAGAGGUCUCAAGCGUUGUUCGGAUUCAUUGGGCGUAAAGGGCGCGUAGGCGGCGGGGUAAGUCUGGUGUGAAAUCUCGGAGCUCAACUCCGAAAUUGCACUGGAUACUGCUCUGCUAGAGGGCUGGAGAGGAGAUCGGAAUUCACGGUGUAGCAGUGAAAUGCGUAGAUAUCGGGAGGAAGACCAAUGGCGAAGGCGGAUCUCUGGACAGCACCUGACGCUGAGGAGCGAAGGCUAGGGGAGCAAACGGG
Molecule: ribosomal RNA, 253 nt
Filed under: uncultured bacterium
Lineage: Bacteria
Description: partial 16S ribosomal RNA
Rfam family: Bacterial small subunit ribosomal RNA
Source: RNAcentral